GCAGUGAGCCACCCCACCGCCGCGCCCAACGCAAAUGCGGGCGGGGAGGAAAGUCCGGGCUACGCAGGGCACCCUGCUUCCUAACGGGAAGGACUGGCCAAUCGGGCCAGGACAGCCAGUGCCACAGAAAAUAACCGCCCGCAAGGGUAAGGGUGAAAAGGUGCGGUAAGAGCGCACCAGCGGCUGGGUGACCACGCCGGCUGGGUAAACCUCAGGGGUUGCAAGACCAAAUAAGCAGACACGUCGCGCUCCUUGGAGGGCGGCACCGGGCGGCCCGCUCGGGUUUGCGGGUAGGUCGCUGGAGCCUAGGGGUGACCCUAGGCCUAGAUAAAUGGUGGGGCCGCCGCCACGGGAAACCGUGCAGGGCGGACAGAACCCGGCUUAUCGGCUCAUUGCCUAA
This 400-nucleotide RNase P RNA is filed under the name Hymenobacter madidus. RNAcentral describes it as "Hymenobacter sp. BT559 RNase P RNA component class A". It matches the Rfam family "Bacterial RNase P class A". Rfam says of the family: Ribonuclease P (RNase P) is a ubiquitous endoribonuclease, found in archaea, bacteria and eukarya as well as chloroplasts and mitochondria. Lineage: Bacteria; Pseudomonadati; Bacteroidota; Cytophagia; Cytophagales; Hymenobacteraceae. The record is from RNAcentral.